CUCUACAUGACAGAACUCCCGUGCAUCGGCGCGGUGGAUUGUCACGGGGCUGCCGUUUCAUUCUCCGUCCCGGUUGGCGGGAAAUUUCGCCUGGGAGGGAAGUUCCUGGCCGGUUUCGUCUGUGCUGUUCUAUCCGAGCGGGGAAACAAGAUGGGUCCCUUGAUGGGUGUUUUCUGCUUGCCUUGUUGAUAGUUUUAUCAUCUUUGGGGCAGCCGAAUGGUUGGCAAAACCCUUGAGCAAGCCACGGUGAUUUUGCCGUGGCACCGCACGCGGGUGUUGUCGGCUCUUACGGAUGCGGUGUCUCUGAUAAGUUUUGUAGGCCACCGGUCCACAAAGCUUUGAGAAGGUCCCCUGUACGGAUCAUUGGUCCGUCGAUCGCCCCUCAUGUUUGUUAUGCCUUCAUGCCGGGGCGGUGUGUGGGUGGCCUCUCCGACAGAACGAACAGCGAUUGUAGGCAAUUAUUGCGAGACGGGCCUCCCAACCGGGGUUGUUCCGGAAGCAACGUGCCGACUCUCGUUUAAGACGUGC
Molecule: unclassified non-coding RNA, 528 nt
Filed under: Rhynchospora aff. elegantula PJSSF-2020
Lineage: Eukaryota; Viridiplantae; Streptophyta; Magnoliopsida; Poales; Cyperaceae
Description: partial external transcribed spacer 1F
Source: RNAcentral